GAUGAACGCUGGCGGCGUGCCUAAUACAUGCAAGUAGAACGCUGAAGGAGGAGCUUGCUCUUCUGGAUGAGUUGCGAACGGGUGAGUAACGCGUAGGUAACCUGCCUGGUAGCGGGGGAUAACUAUUGGAAACGAUAGCUAAUACCGCAUGACAACAGUUAUUGCAUGAUAACUGUUUAAAAGGGGCAACUGCUCCACUACCAGAUGGACCUGCGUUGUAUUAGCUAGUUGGUGAGGUAACGGCUCACCAAGGCGACGAUACAUAGCCGACCUGAGAGGGGGAGCGGCCAGCCUGGGACUGAGACACGGCCCAGACUCCUACGGGAGGCAGCAGUAGGGAAUCUUCGGCAAUGGACGGAAGUCUGACCGAGCAACGCCGCGUGAGGGAAGAAGGUUGUCGGAUCGUAAAGCUCUGUUGUAAGAGAAGAACGAGUGUGAGAGUGGAAAGUUCACACUGUGACGGUAUCUUACCAGAAAGCGACGGCUAACUACGUG
RNAcentral lists this ribosomal RNA (495 nucleotides) under uncultured bacterium. RNAcentral describes it as "partial 16S ribosomal RNA". It matches the Rfam family "Bacterial small subunit ribosomal RNA", at positions 28 to 507 of the family's 1533-position model. The record is from RNAcentral.